This 404-nucleotide ribosomal RNA is filed under the name uncultured bacterium. RNAcentral's name for it is "bacterial SSU rRNA". It matches the Rfam family "Bacterial small subunit ribosomal RNA", at positions 355 to 776 of the family's 1533-position model. The record is from RNAcentral.
UGGGGAAUAUUGCACAAUGGGGGAAACCCUGAUGCAGCGACGCCGCGUGAGUGAGGAAGUAUUUCGGUAUGUAAAGCUCUAUCAGCAGGGAAGAAAAUGACGGUACCUGACUAAGAAGCCCCGGCUAACUACGUGCCAGCAGCCGCGGUAAUACGUAGGGGGCAAGCGUUAUCCGGAUUUACUGGGUGUAAAGGGAGCGUAGACGGAAUAGCAAGUCUGAUGUGAAAACCCGGGGCUCAACUCCGGGAGUGCAUUGGAAACUGUUGAUCUAGAGUGUCGGAGAGGCAAGCGGAAUUCCUAGUGUAGCGGUGAAAUGCGUAGAUAUUAGGAGGAACACCAGUGGCGAAGGCGGCUUGCUGGACGAUGACUGACGUUGAGGCUCGAAAGCGUGGGGAGCAAACAGG